Molecule: non-coding RNA, 673 nt
Filed under: Pongo abelii (Sumatran orangutan)
Lineage: Eukaryota; Metazoa; Chordata; Mammalia; Primates; Hominidae
Source: RNAcentral
AAUCAGAAAAAAGGGCGGAUGUGCAAUCUUCACCUGUUUAUUCGGUAGAGGGUGCCAUCUUCAGGUAGCCCUUCACGUUGUACAGAAAACAAUGGAGACUUCUCCUCCUGGGGCAGCCUCAACCUGGAGAAAAAAGUCUUCAUCCCGUGGAGCACCAUCCACCUCUUCUCCACCUGGACAGGCUGCUGGCUGCCGGAUCUUCUUCGGUUUGGUGGGGCUGCUCACUUUGGGGCCCUCAGGACAGGACACAGGAGCAGGCAGGGCUGUUGAGAGCUCUUCAGCCAGUUCCUGAAGAUACAGAAGUGCCCUGUGGGAACAGACAGAGCCAUUCUCACAUAUAACCGAGAACUCACAUUUCCAGACAUGGUUGAUUUUUAUCUCAAUGGAGCCUCCCAAUAACCCCAUGAUUAACCAAUUAACUCUAUUAAUUUCCCCUUCCCCCUUGGAAAAUGAAAAACCAGAAAUCUAAGUUAUGUGACUUGGCCGAGAUGACUGAGAUAACAAAUGUGGAAUCUGAACCCAGGUCUUCUCACUCCAAGUUCAAUACAUUUUUCAUCCUACCACAGUCAAAGAACACAGAGGGCAAGAGAAAGAAUGGAACAGCAUAUAUAUAUAUAUAUAGACAUAUACUGGACAGUAAAACAAUAAAGAGCUGGGUAAAGUUUGUGAAAAA